Myripristis murdjan (pinecone soldierfish) is the source of this 119-nucleotide long non-coding RNA. RefSeq lists it as uncharacterized. NCBI's taxonomy places the organism in Eukaryota, Metazoa, Chordata, Actinopteri, Holocentriformes, Holocentridae. The transcript is spliced from 3 exons. The record is from RefSeq and is a predicted model, not a curated record.
UAAAUCCUUGUCGAGGGCUGGUACUGUGAUUGGUUUUUCCCCUGUGAGGAACACAGCAUGUGGCCAAUCAUAUUUUAGAAAAGAGAAAAAAUUCAACAGCUGACUUCAAAGUUCUGCUU